GCUGGGCGUGGUGGCACAUGCCUGUAAUCCCUGGGGCUUGGGAGGCUGAGGCAAGAGAAUCACGAGUUCAGUGCCAGCUUGAGCAAAAGUGAGGUGUUAAGCAACUCAGUGAAACUCUGUCUCUA
RNAcentral lists this small RNA (125 nucleotides) under Marmota monax (woodchuck). Lineage: Eukaryota; Metazoa; Chordata; Mammalia; Rodentia; Sciuridae. The record is from RNAcentral.